ACUACGGGAGGCAGCAGUGAGGAAUAUUGGUCAAUGGGCGGAAGCCUGAACCAGCCAAGUCGCGUGAGGGAUUAAGGCCCUGCGGGUCGUAAACCUCUUGUGCCGGGGAGCAGAGGUCCGGACGUGUACGGGCCGGGAGAGUACCCGGAGAAAAAGCAUCUGCUAACUCCGUGCCAGCAGCCGCGGUAAUACGGAGGAUGCGAGCGUUAUCCGGAUUUAUUGGGUUUGAAGGGUGCGUAGGCGGGCAUUUAAGCCGGAGGUCAAAUGUCGGUGCUCAACCCCGGCCUGCCGUCGGCACUGGGUGCCUUGAGUGGGCGAGAAGUAUGCGGAAUGCGUGGUGUAGCGGUGAAAUGCAUAGAUAUCACGCAGAACCCCGAUUGCGAAGGCAGCAUACCGGCGCCCUACUGACGCUGAGGCACGAAAGUGCGGGUAUCGAACAGGAUUAGAUACCCGGGUAGUC
RNAcentral lists this ribosomal RNA (460 nucleotides) under uncultured bacterium. RNAcentral describes it as "partial 16S ribosomal RNA". It matches the Rfam family "Bacterial small subunit ribosomal RNA", at positions 338 to 795 of the family's 1533-position model. The record is from RNAcentral.